This 505-nucleotide ribosomal RNA is filed under the name uncultured bacterium. Its description in RNAcentral is "partial 16S ribosomal RNA". It matches the Rfam family "Bacterial small subunit ribosomal RNA", at positions 29 to 523 of the family's 1533-position model. The record is from RNAcentral.
AGUGAACGCUGGCGGUAGGCCUAACACAUGCAAGUCGAACGGCACCACAGAGGAGCUUGCUCCUUGGGUGGCGAGUGGCGGACGGGUGAGGAAUACAUCGGAAUCUACUCUGUCGUGGGGGAUAACGUAGGGAAACUUACGCUAAUACCGCAUACGACCUACGGGUGAAAGCAGGGGAUCUUCGGACCUUGCGCGAUUGAAUGAGCCGAUGUCGGAUUAGCUAGUUGGCGGGGUAAAGGCCCACCAAGGCGACGAUCCGUAGCUGGUCUGAGAGGAUGAUCAGCCACACUGGAACUGAGACACGGUCCAGACUCCUACGGGAGGCAGCAGUGGGGAAUAUUGGACAAUGGGCGCAAGCCUGAUCAGCCAUACCGCGUGGGUGAAGAAGGCCUUCGGGUUGUAAAGCCCUUUUGUUGGGAAAGAAAUCCAUCUGGUUAAUACCCGGGUGGGAUGACGGUACCCAAAGAAUAAGCACCGGCUAACUUCGUGCCAGCAGCCGCAGUAA